RNAcentral lists this ribosomal RNA (497 nucleotides) under uncultured bacterium. RNAcentral's name for it is "partial 16S ribosomal RNA". It matches the Rfam family "Bacterial small subunit ribosomal RNA", at positions 28 to 507 of the family's 1533-position model. The record is from RNAcentral.
GAUGAACGCUGGCGGCGUGCCUAAUACAUGCAAGUCGAGCGAACGGACGAGAAGCUUGCUUCUCUGAGGUGAGCGGCGGACGGGUGAGUAACACGUGGGUAACCUACCUAUAAGACUGGGAUAACUUCGGGAAACCGAAGCUAAUACCGGAUAAUAGUUUGAACCACAUGGUUCAAAAGUGAAAGACGGUCUUGCUGUCACUUAUAGAUGUAUCCGGGCUGCAUUAGCUAGUUGGUAAGGUAACGGCUUACCAAGGCAACGAUGCAUAGCCGACCUGAGAGGGUGAUAGGCCACACUGGAACUGAGACACGGUCCAGCCUCCUACGGGAGGAAGAAGUAGGGAAUCUUCCGAAAUGGGCGAAAGCCUGACGGAGCAACGCAGCGUGAGUGAUGAAGGUCUUCGGAUCGUAAAACUCUGUUAUUAGGGAAGAACAUAUGUGUAAGUAACUGUGCACAUAUUGACGGUACCUAAUCAGAAAGCCACGGCUAACUACGUG